CGAACGGGUGAGUAACGCGUGAGGAACCUGCCUCAAAGAGGGGGACAACAGUUGGAAACGACUGCUAAUACCGCAUAAGCCCACGGCUCGGCAUCGAGCAGAGGGAAAAGGAGCAAUCCGCUUUGAGAUGGCCUCGCGUCCGAUUAGCUGUUGGUGAGGUAACGGCCCACCAAGGCGACGAUCGGUAGCCGGACUGAGAGGUUGAACGGCCACAUUGGGACUGAGACACGGCCCAG
This 236-nucleotide ribosomal RNA is filed under the name uncultured bacterium. RNAcentral describes it as "partial 16S ribosomal RNA". It matches the Rfam family "Bacterial small subunit ribosomal RNA", at positions 99 to 334 of the family's 1533-position model. The record is from RNAcentral.